GAUUCUGGCUCAGGAUGAACGCUAGCGACAGGCUUAACACAUGCAAGUCGAGGGGCAGCAUAAAAGUAGCAAUACUUGGUGGCGACCGGCGCACGGGUGAGUAACGCGUAUGCAACCUACCUAUCAGAGGGGAAUAACCCGGCGAAAGUCGGACUAAUACCGCAUAAAACAGGGGCACCGCAUGGUGAUAUUUGUUAAAGAAAUUCGCUGAUAGAUGGGCAUGCGUUCCAUUAGGUAGUUGGUGAGGUAACGGCUCACCAAGCCGACGAUGGAUAGGGGAACUGAGAGGUUGGUCCCCCACACUGGUACUGAGACACGGACCAGACUCCUACGGGAGGCAGCAGUGAGGAAUAUUGGUCAAUGGGCGGGAGCCUGAACCAGCCAAGUCGCGUGAAGGAAGAAGGAUCUAUGGUUCGUAAACUUCUUUUGCAGGGGAAUAAAGUGCAGGACGUGUCCUGUUUUGUAUGUACCCUGAGAAUAAGGAUCGGCUAACUCCGUGCCAGCCGCGGC
RNAcentral lists this ribosomal RNA (510 nucleotides) under uncultured bacterium. RNAcentral describes it as "bacterial SSU rRNA". It matches the Rfam family "Bacterial small subunit ribosomal RNA", at positions 15 to 518 of the family's 1533-position model. The record is from RNAcentral.